RNAcentral lists this ribosomal RNA (274 nucleotides) under uncultured archaeon. RNAcentral's name for it is "partial 16S ribosomal RNA". It matches the Rfam family "Archaeal small subunit ribosomal RNA", at positions 85 to 342 of the family's 1478-position model. The record is from RNAcentral.
ACUGCUCAGUAACACGUGGACAACCUACCCUUGGGUCUGGCAUAAUCCUGGGAAACUGGGGAUAAUUCCGGAUAGGUCACAGAUGCUGGAAUGCUCUGUGGCCGAAAGCUCCGGCGCCCAAGGAUGGGUCUGCGGCCUAUCAGGGUUGUAGUGGGUGUAACGUACCUACUAGCCUACGACGGGUACGGGUUGUGAGAGCAAGAGCCCGGAGAUGGAUUCUGAGACACGAAUCCAGGCCCUACGGGGUGCCAGCAGCCGCGGUAAUACGAUCCCA